RNAcentral lists this ribosomal RNA (619 nucleotides) under Lactococcus lactis. Its description in RNAcentral is "bacterial SSU rRNA". It matches the Rfam family "Bacterial small subunit ribosomal RNA", at positions 76 to 681 of the family's 1533-position model. The record is from RNAcentral. Lineage: Bacteria; Bacillati; Bacillota; Bacilli; Lactobacillales; Streptococcaceae.
GUACUUGUACCGACUGGAUGAGCAGCGAACGGGUGAGUAACGCGUGGGGAAUCUGCCUUUGAGCGGGGGACAACAUUUGGAAACGAAUGCUAAUACCGCAUAAAAACUUUAAACACAAGUUUUAAGUUUGAAAGAUGCAAUUGCAUCACUCAAAGAUGAUCCCGCGUUGUAUUAGCUAGUUGGUGAGGUAAAGGCUCACCAAGGCGAUGAUACAUAGCCGACCUGAGAGGGUGAUCGGCCACAUUGGGACUGAGACACGGCCCAAACUCCUACGGGAGGCAGCAGUAGGGAAUCUUCGGCAAUGGACGAAAGUCUGACCGAGCAACGCCGCGUGAGUGAAGAAGGUUUUCGGAUCGUAAAACUCUGUUGGUAGAGAAGAACGUUGGUGAGAGUGGAAAGCUCAUCAAGUGACGGUAACUACCCAGAAAGGGACGGCUAACUACGUGCCAGCAGCCGCGGUAAUACGUAGGUCCCGAGCGUUGUCCGGAUUUAUUGGGCGUAAAGCGAGCGCAGGUGGUUUAUUAAGUCUGGUGUAAAAGGCAGUGGCUCAACCAUUGUAUGCAUUGGAAACUGGUAGACUUGAGUGCAGGAGAGGAGAGUGGAAUUCCAUGGGUAGCGG